GACGAACGCUGGCGGCGUGCCUAAUACAUGCAAGUUGAGCGCUGAAGGUUGGUACUUGUACCGACUGGAUGAGCAGCGAACGGGUGGGUAACGCGUGGGGAAUCUGCCUUUGAGCGGGGGACAACAUUUGGAAACGAAUGCUAAUACCGCAUAAAAACUUUAAACACAAGUUUUAAGUUUGAAAGAUGCAAUUGCAUCACUCAAAGAUGAUCCCGCGUUGUAUUAGCUAGUUGGUGAGGUAAAGGCUCACCAAGGCGAUGAUACAUAGCCGACCUGAAAGGGUGAUCGGCCACAUUGGGACUGAGACACGGCCCAAACUCCUACGGGAGGCAGCAGUAGGGAAUCUUCGGCAAUGGACGAAAGUCUGACCGAGCAACGCCGCGUGAGUGAAGAAGGUUUUCGGAUCGUAAAACUCUGUUGGUAGAGAAGAACGUUGGUGAGAGUGGAAAGCUCAUCAAGUGACGGUAACUACCCAGAAAGGGACGGCUAACUACGUG
Molecule: ribosomal RNA, 497 nt
Filed under: uncultured bacterium
Lineage: Bacteria
Description: partial 16S ribosomal RNA
Rfam family: Bacterial small subunit ribosomal RNA
Source: RNAcentral